GACGAACGCUGGCGGCGUGCCUAAUACAUGCAAGUCGAACGCUGAAGGAGGAGCUUGCUUCUCUGGAUGAGUUGCGAACGGGUGAGUAACGCGUAGGUAACCUGCCUGGUAGCGGGGGAUAACUAUUGGAAACGAUAGCUAAUACCGCAUAAGAGUAGAUGUCGCAUGACAUUUGCUUAAAAGGUGCAAUUGCAUCACUACCAGAUGGACCUGCGUUGUAUUAGCUAGUUGGUGAGGUAACGGCUCACCAAGGCAACGAUACAUAGCCGACCUGAGAGGGGGAUCGGCCACCCGGGGACUGGGACACGGCCCAGACCCCUACGGGGGGCCGAGUUGGGGAAUUUUGGGCAAGGGCGGGAAUUCUGGCCGGGCAACCCCGGGUGGGUGAAAAAGGUUUUCGGAUCGUAAAGCUUUUUUGUAAGGGAAAAAAGGGUGGGAGGGUGGAAAGUUACCCCUGUGGCGGGAUUUUACAAAAAAGGGACGGUUAAUUACGG
This 494-nucleotide ribosomal RNA is filed under the name uncultured bacterium. Its description in RNAcentral is "partial 16S ribosomal RNA". It matches the Rfam family "Bacterial small subunit ribosomal RNA", at positions 28 to 506 of the family's 1533-position model. The record is from RNAcentral.